AACGAACGCUGGCGGCAGGCCUAACACAUGCAAGUCGAACGGGUGUAGCAAUACAUCAGUGGCGCACGGGUGAGUAACACGUGGGAAUCUGCCCUUGGGUUCGGAAUAACUCAGAGAAAUUUGAGCUAAUACCGGAUGAUGACGAAAGUCCAAAGAUUUAUCGCCCAGGGAUGAGCCCGCGUAAGAUUAGCUUGUUGGUGGGGUAAUGGCCUACCAAGGCGACGAUCUUUAGCUGGUCUGAGAGGAUGAUCAGCCACACUGGGACUGAGACACGGCCCAGACUCCUACGGGAGGCAGCAGUGGGGAAUAUUGGUCAAUGGGCGGGAGCCUGAACCAGCCAAGUCGCGUGAAGGAAGAAGGAUCUAUGGUUCGUAAACUUCUUUUGCAGGGGAAUAAAGUGCAGGACGUGUCCUGUUUUGUAUGUACCCUGAGAAUAAGGAUCGGCUAACUCCGUGCCAGCAGCCGCGGUAAUAGUCACGUCGCUGGGACUGACCG
Molecule: ribosomal RNA, 495 nt
Filed under: uncultured bacterium
Lineage: Bacteria
Description: bacterial SSU rRNA
Rfam family: Bacterial small subunit ribosomal RNA
Source: RNAcentral